CGAACAGCCCGAAAGGGCUGCUAAUACCGCAUAUCUCAGCAGGGUCUUUGGGCUUUGUUGGGAAAGGUGGCGCGUUGCAAGACAGCUAUCACCAGAGGAUGAGUCCGCGGCCCAUCAGCUAGUUGGCGGGGUAAUGGCCCACCAAGGCAUAGACGGGUAGCUGGUCUGAGAGGAUGAUCAGCCACACUGGGACUGAGACACGGCCCAG
This 208-nucleotide ribosomal RNA is filed under the name uncultured bacterium. RNAcentral describes it as "partial 16S ribosomal RNA". It matches the Rfam family "Bacterial small subunit ribosomal RNA", at positions 143 to 334 of the family's 1533-position model. The record is from RNAcentral.